GCCUGGGUGGCUCAGUCAGUUGAGCGUCUGACUUUGACUCAGGUCAUGAUCUCACAGUUCAUGGGUUCAAGCCCUGCGUCAGGCU
This 85-nucleotide transfer RNA is filed under the name Felis catus (domestic cat). It matches the Rfam family "tRNA". From Rfam's summary of the family: Transfer RNA (tRNA) molecules are approximately 80 nucleotides in length. Their secondary structure includes four short double-helical elements and three loops (D, anti-codon, and T loops). Lineage: Eukaryota; Metazoa; Chordata; Mammalia; Carnivora; Felidae. The record is from Rfam by way of RNAcentral. RNAcentral also lists the same sequence under 5 other names.